UUUUAGGGCAGUGUGAGGGGCGAUGUGUAUUAGCUUUUGAGGGAUUUAAUGAAGCAAGAUUUGACAGCAUUUCAUAUCAGGAAGGACUGUUCAUGAGCACUUGGUGACUCACUCCUCGCUAUGUCACUGAAAGACAGAACAAGAAGAAACACUUGAAAACAGCCAGAGAUCAAUUUGCAGUGACAGUUUAACUCAUACAGAACCAAUUCUUCCAGGGACUCUGAGGCUAUCAGGAGAUGGCCUUGCUUCAAUGUGUUGACUGCCAUAGGACUACUUUGAAAGACUGAACCCUCUUUUGAGGCUGUUCAAAACAGGAGAGGCCAGCUGCCCAGGAUCGUCAAGGCCCAAUUCACCCUAGAGCAAAGCACAUGGAAGAGGUCCCAAGAGGCCUCUUUGUUUGUAAGUCAGCAUAUUUAGCAUUGGAACCAACUGAUUUUCUUUUAUUAUUUCAUUUUUUGAAUUCCUGUUGGUAUUCUAAUGAGAGAGAGAGAGAG
Mesocricetus auratus (golden hamster) is the source of this 494-nucleotide long non-coding RNA. RefSeq lists it as uncharacterized. Lineage: Eukaryota; Metazoa; Chordata; Mammalia; Rodentia; Cricetidae. The transcript has 2 exons. The record is from RefSeq and is a predicted model, not a curated record.